AAUUUUUCGGAAUCGAUUUUAUCAAUUAUAUUAUAAAUUUUUUUCAAAAAUUUAUAUAUAAUAU
Molecule: transfer RNA, 64 nt
Filed under: Potamyia flava
Lineage: Eukaryota; Metazoa; Arthropoda; Insecta; Trichoptera; Hydropsychidae
Description: tRNA-Ile
Source: RNAcentral